RNAcentral lists this transfer RNA (88 nucleotides) under Synergistales bacterium. Its description in RNAcentral is "tRNA-Leu". It matches the Rfam family "tRNA". From Rfam's summary of the family: Transfer RNA (tRNA) molecules are approximately 80 nucleotides in length. Their secondary structure includes four short double-helical elements and three loops (D, anti-codon, and T loops). The record is from RNAcentral. RNAcentral also lists the same sequence under 1 other name. Lineage: Bacteria; Thermotogati; Synergistota; Synergistia; Synergistales.
GCCGGAGUGGCGGAACUGGCAGACGCAGUGGACUCAAAAUCCACCGGUCUUCGCGGCCGUGUGGGUUCGAAUCCCACCUCCGGCACCA